Molecule: ribosomal RNA, 317 nt
Filed under: uncultured Helicobacter sp.
Lineage: Bacteria; Pseudomonadati; Campylobacterota; Epsilonproteobacteria; Campylobacterales; Helicobacteraceae
Description: partial 16S ribosomal RNA
Rfam family: Bacterial small subunit ribosomal RNA
Source: RNAcentral
UAGGGAAUAUUGCUCAAUGGGGGAAACCCUGAAGCAGCAACGCCGCGUGGAGGAUGAAGGUUUUAGGAUUGUAAACUCCUUUUGUUAGAGAAGAUAAUGACGGUAUCUAACGAAUAAGCACCGGCUAACUCCGUGCCAGCCACCGCGGUCAUACGAUUAACCCAAACUAACUAUUCUCCGGCGUAAAAUGUGUUUUUAUUACGAACAUAAUAGAAUUAAAACCCAACUAAUAUGUGAAAAUUCAUUGUUGGACUUAAAAUCAAUAACGAAAGUAAUUCUAAUUAUAUUAAUACACGAUAGCUAAGAUCCAAACUGGG